AUUGAACGCUGGCGGCAGGCCUAACACAUGCAAGUCGAACGGUAACAGGAAGAAGCUUGCUUCUUUGCUGACGAGUGGCGGACGGGUGAGUAAUGUCUGGGAAACUGCCUGAUGGAGGGGGAUAACUACUGGAAACGGUAGCUAAUACCGCAUAACGUCGCAAGACCAAAGAGGGGGACCUUCGGGCCUCUUGCCAUCGGAUGUGCCCAGAUGGGAUUAGCUAGUAGGUGGGGUAACGGCUCACCUAGGCGACGAUCCCUAGCUGGUCUGAGAGGAUGACCAGCCACACUGGAACUGAGACACGGUCCAGACUCCUACGGGAGGCAGCAGUGGGGAAUAUUGCACAAUGGGCGCAAGCCUGAUGCAGCCAUGCCGCGUGUAUGAAGAAGGCCUUCGGUUUGUAAAGUACUUUCAGCGGGGAGGAAGGGAGUAAAGUUAAUACCUUUGCUCAUUGACGUUACCCGCAGAAGAAGCACCGGCUAACUCCGUG
This 490-nucleotide ribosomal RNA is filed under the name uncultured bacterium. RNAcentral's name for it is "partial 16S ribosomal RNA". It matches the Rfam family "Bacterial small subunit ribosomal RNA", at positions 30 to 507 of the family's 1533-position model. The record is from RNAcentral.